AGCGAACGCUGGCGGCAUGCUUAACACAUGCAAGUCGCACGGUCAGCAAUGGCAGUGGCGGACGGGUGAGUAACACGUAGGAAUCUAUCCUUGAAUGGGGGACAACCGUGGGAAACUACGGCUAAUACCGCAUGAUGCCUGAGGGCCAAAGACGUAAGUCGUUUGAGGAGGAGCCUGCGUCUGAUUAGCUAGUUGGUGGGGUAAAGGCCUACCAAGGCGACGAUCAGUAGCUGGUCUGAGAGGAUGAUCAGCCACAUUGGGACUGAGACA
RNAcentral lists this ribosomal RNA (270 nucleotides) under uncultured bacterium. RNAcentral's name for it is "partial 16S ribosomal RNA". It matches the Rfam family "Bacterial small subunit ribosomal RNA", at positions 29 to 326 of the family's 1533-position model. The record is from RNAcentral.